CUGGAGGUGUAAGAAACUGACAAUUUUCAAGGGUUUUUGGAGUGUGUAGAGGAUGGGAAGUAGGGUUGAUGUUCAGCAUUAUAAUCUAAGAUCAGCAAAUCCAUACAGUACUUCAUUACAUGAUACAUUGAUGGUAUUGGUGGUGCUGAUGCUGUUACUGAAGAUAGCUUGGAUAAUGAAGAUGGUUCUAAUUCUGUGGUGACUGGAUUGCAUAUCGGAUUCAUAUAAGAAUUCGAUUAGGAUGUAUGGGGUUGAUGUUGAAGAUGAUCGGUCAACGUUCGAAACGAGCGAGUCUUCUAGGACAAUGGUUGAUAUGUUGACUACUGAUGAUGUAUUACCAAUUGAAACUACAAGGGCACGAUUUUUACAGGUUAUAGUGGAUAAUUUUAUUACGGACCAUGUGAUUGAGUUACCGGAUUCUGAGCAUGACUACAGCGUGCAGUGUGGGGAAGAUAAACAAAACAAGAGGAAAUCUGGAGAAGCUCAAUAUGAAGGUGAUCCAAGGUUUGCGUUGCCACUGAUGUAUGUGGCUAAUUUGUAUGAGAAUUUAGUCCUUAAUGUGAAUAGAAGGCUUGCAUCUCUGGAUGGAAUUCGUGACAGCACUAAGAGCAUUGGGGUAGCACUUGAAGCAGCUGGUGGUUUGUAUAGAAAGCUGGCAAAAAAGUAUCCGCGGAAAGGAACUUAUUCUUAUAAAAGAAGAGAAUUGGCUACUUCUCUUGAAACAAGGGCAAGAUUUCCAGAGCUAGUUAUAAAUGAAGAAAAACGGGUCCGCUUUGUAGUAGUCAAUGGUUUAGAGAUUGUUGAAAAACCAAAUAAUAUGCCAGUGGAAGAUGCAGAGUGGUUCAAACGGUUGACUGGUCGCAGUGAAGUGGCUAUUUCUGACCGUGAUUAUAAAUUUUACACUCCCAGACAUAAAAACAGACGAGUGGCGUCCAAUCCAGUGUCUAAUAUCCCUGGGCUACCAGCAUUCUCUGGCGUGGACAACUCUCCUAUGGCAUCUUUUCCUGGAUUCCGUCCUCUAAGUGACCCUCAAAAUCAGCAGCAGUCUCAGGUGAAACAUCACAUCCAACCCCUGUCACUUCAACCUCAGUUUCAUCACUUGCAUCAAACUCACCAACAAACCAUGCAUCAGAAUCAACAUGCAUCUCAAUUCUCUCAUGCGCAUCAGUGUUCUCCUACUCAUUUGCCUGAGAUUUCUCAUUCACACCAACUGCCAUAGGUUUCACAACACAUGGCUUGUUUGCAAUCCCUGACGGGCAACCACAUGGGAGCACGUAUGCAUGUGCUGCACACAACCCCUGCCAAGUACUGUGAUGAAUGUGGGGCACCAUAUUUGAGAGAAUCCUCCAAGUUUUGUUCAGAAUGUGGUGUUAAGAGGUUAGGAACCUGAUAU
RNA transcript from Papaver somniferum (opium poppy), 1393 nucleotides. RefSeq lists it as uncharacterized. The record is from RefSeq and is a predicted model, not a curated record. NCBI's taxonomy places the organism in Eukaryota, Viridiplantae, Streptophyta, Magnoliopsida, Ranunculales, Papaveraceae. The transcript has 8 exons.